Molecule: RNA transcript, 1331 nt
Organism: Ooceraea biroi (clonal raider ant)
Lineage: Eukaryota; Metazoa; Arthropoda; Insecta; Hymenoptera; Formicidae
Source: RefSeq, a predicted model, not a curated record
CUCUAAUGCUAAUGACAUAAUACGGAAUGUAUUACACAAAAGAUAAGUGCGAGCAUACAUCUAUAUAUGUAGUAAUAACAUGCGUGCGUACGGCGUCGUACUUUGUUCAGAAAUUUCCAAAGUGUAUUUUCAGAAUUAAUGUGCAGAUCUCUUUUUAGUACCAUAAUUAAAGAUAACAAGAUCAAAGUGAAUUAAAAUAGCCACAAUGCGUAUAAUAAAGAAAUAUUGGCUACAUUUUGCGUAGUGAAUGAUUCUGCAUUUAUGCGCAAGGUGACACAGAACAUCUAUUUAUAAAUGUCAGCUUUGAUUGUUGAUUCUUUGACGACGUGCAUAUGCUUGGACUUUGAUUCACUUUGAAUUAUUUUUAAGACUGGUUGAUCAGUACGUAUAAGCGUACGUAUACCAGAGAACUGAUUUUAUUUCACAAGUUAAAGAACUCCUGUAAAGAAGACCGUGUACACUGUUAAUUUAUGCACAUGAUGAUGAAUUUUAAUCCAUAAAAUGUAAUAAUGUUACUCUAUGUAACAUUCACUGCUUUCAAUCUUCCACAAAAUCCGUUAACUUCGGAGGAAAUAGAAGUGAAAGAAAAAAUUGAACGUAUGUUGCAAGAAAUACAAAACGAAAAAGAACUUCAAAUAGAAGUAGAAGAAACUUUAGAUUUUUACAACGCAUAUGCCCUUCUUCGGGGCAGUAGUCUGGAAUGAAUAUAAAGCGUGCUAGAGGGAAUUCCUGCGGGACCUGCGAGAACGAGCCGGGACAUGGCUAUAUCCCAAAAGUGGAAACGAUUGAUGUAUUAGAGGAUGCUGAAGAUACAGUAUAUCUUCCAGAAGAAAUUAGUUGUACUUCUGAUGAAGCAACAAUAUCAAAUGACUAUAAACGACAAGCUGUGGAAUACUGGAAAAGCGGUAAAACAAGAUCAAAAUCACUUGAAGGAGUUAGAAAGGUUCAAAAAGGUUACAUCGAUACGGCAACUACGACAGUGGGAGAAUUACCUCAGGGCAGGUGGUAGUAGAUCAGACAAAUUCAACAAAAUUUCCGAAUAUACAUUAAACUGUUUCACUGAAGCAUUGGAGAAAGGAAUCAUUAUUCAUGAUACUGAUAUUGCUCGAUGGGCUUCUCGAGCACAAGAAAAAGUAAAUGCGCCACGUUUUAAAGCCUCAAACUCGUGGUUAAAAUGGAACUUCACCGUUUUGUCUGACAGUGACAGUCAAAAGCGGAAUACUUUCUCUGUUACACUGGAAAGCAAAUCAACGGUUUCAGAUGCCACAAGGUCACUUCAUAACGGACAUUCACACAUUUCAGACUUUGCAUCGCCAUAUCUCCGCUCGUAG